CAAAAACAUCGCCUCCCGCAAAACAUUAUGGGAGGUCUUACCUGCCCAGUGACUACAAGUUAAACGGCCGCGGUAUUUUGACCGUGCAAAGGUAGCGCAAUCACUUGUCUUUUAAAUGAAGACCCGUAUGAAUGGUGAAACGAGGGCUUGACUGUCUCCCUUUUCUAGUCAAUGAAAUUGAUCCGCCCGUGCAGAAGCGGGCAUAAUAUUACAAGACGAGAAGACCCUUUGGAGCUUAAGAUAAAAACCAACUAUGUUAAUAUAGGGAAAAAAUAAACUAAAUAACACUGGUCCAUAUCUUCGGUUGGGGCGACCACGGGAGAAAAUAAAGCUCCCAUGCGGAUGGGGUUUAACCUAAAGCCAAGAAAGACACUUCCAAGACACAGAACAUUUGACCAAAUUGAUCCGGCUAACUAGCCGACCAACGAACCAAGUUACCCUAGGGAUAACAGCGCAAUCCCCUUUCAGAGUCCAUAUCGACAAGGGGGUUUACGACCUCGAUGUUGGAUCAGGACAUCCUAAUGGUGCAGCCGCUAUUAAGGGUUC
RNAcentral lists this ribosomal RNA (546 nucleotides) under Rineloricaria jubata. RNAcentral's name for it is "partial 16S ribosomal RNA". It matches the Rfam family "Bacterial large subunit ribosomal RNA", at positions 1808 to 2574 of the family's 2925-position model. The record is from RNAcentral. Lineage: Eukaryota; Metazoa; Chordata; Actinopteri; Siluriformes; Loricariidae.